Long non-coding RNA from Salmo trutta (river trout), 1853 nucleotides. NCBI's taxonomy places the organism in Eukaryota, Metazoa, Chordata, Actinopteri, Salmoniformes, Salmonidae. The record is from Ensembl.
AUGAUGAGCCCUCUUCCACUUUUGUUUAGUGUUAAUAAGCUGCGGCAGCAGGUUUUGUUGAAUUGUAACAUUUAUUCAUUUUUAUUCACGUACUAUUUUUUAUUUAAUUUUUUCGAAUGGAUGUCUGCUCUCCCUCCACUCUUGAAUAAUACAGUAGGCCUUAUGUGUCACAAAGACAAUCAAUGCUGUAGCUGUUAUGUGGUUAGAAAGAGCUCCCUCACUCUGAACCAUUCUGUAUGUAUAGGACUGCAUCUCUGGGCUGAUUCCAAACCAACCCCAUGCUGCUAUCCCCAUUACCUUGUUGACUUUUGUUACGUAUCUGAAAUGGUUUGUAUUGUCAAUAUUGUAAAGUAGGUUGUUUCCUUCCAAUGUAUUCCUUUACAUCGACAGUCUUAUCAGAUGCUUUAAGUUGUCAACAUUGGCCUAUAGUUGGGUGCAAUGGCUUGAUUUGGAAAUCAGCUUUUAAUCAGAGGGACCAAGUAAAGGACUAAUGUUAAAGUGGUGGGUGGGAGAUUUAGUAAGUGAGUAUGGUGGAAUUUUUGUUACUUUGUUUUCUUGACUUUUCAUUAAACAAUUAAGAUUCCCUUACAAUGUUUACACUAUUUUACUGGGUCCCUGUUUCUCUUUAGAUAAUGCAAGAGAACAUGAAAAAUACAAGCAAUCCAAUACUUGAUCAGCCUAUAAUCCAACCUAGGCUAGAUAUUGGUGGGGAAACGAACAACCGAUCACAAACAUAAGACGCAGGACAAGUGUGGCCGUAUUCUUAUAUAUAAUAUACAUACGCUAAGUGUACAAAACAGUAGGAACACCUUCCUAAUAUUGAGUUGCACCCCCUUUUUACCUCAGAACCACCUCAAUUCUACAAGGUGUCGGAAGUGUUCUACAGGGAUCCUGGCCCAUGUUGACUCCAACAUUCGUGUCAAGUUGGCUGGAUGUCCUUUGGGUGGUGGACAGUUCUUGAUACACAUGGGAAACUGAGUGUGAAAACCCCAUCAGCGUUGCAGUUCUUGACGCACUCAAACCAGUGCACCUGGCAUCUAAUACAAUACCCCAUUCAAAGAUACUUAACUUUUGUCUUGCCCAUUCACCCUCUGAAUGGCACAUACAAUUCAUGGCUUAAAAAGCCUUCUUUAACCUGUCUUCUCCCCUUCAUCUACACCGAUUGAAGUGGAUUUAACAAGUGACAUCAAUAAGGGAUCAUAGCUUUCACCUGGAUUCACCUGCCAAUCUAUGUCAUGGAAAGAGCAGGUGUUCCUAAUGUUUUGUGCACUGUGUAUGUAACUGCUUUGCUUGAAAUAACAUAGUAAAACUUUUUAACUUUUCCGUUACCACAAAAAUACUUUUAAAGAAUUAAAGCAAGCCCCGCAUCUUUACUUGUAAGGUCACCCUCUAGUUUGAUCUUGAUGCCAUGUCUUAUUUUGAGGUGCUUUGACUGUCACGUGACGUCUAUGCUAAUAUUGUUCAAAUUCGCUAACUAGCUAGCCAACAACUGUAACGAUGUGUUUGAGACAAGUGCUCAUUGUGCAAAUUUAUGUUUUCAAUAAACAUUGGAGACGAAAUAUACUUACAUGUCAACAAUCCAAGCCAACCCCGUAUGUUUUAUUGCUAACGAGCCAACCUGUCUAUUGGAGAAGCCGUUUGUGCCCAGAGCCAUAUACACUGAACAGAAAUAUAAACACAAAACGUAAAGUGUUGGUCCCAUGUUUCAAAAGCUGAAAUAAAAGAUCCCAGAAAUGUUAUAAACUCACAACAUUUUUAUUUCUCUAAAAUGUUGUGCAUAAAUUUGUUUACAUCCCUGUUAGUGACCAUUUCUCCUUUGCCAAGAUAAUCCAUCCACAUGACAGGUGUGGAAU